AUAUUCACAAAUGUAAUCAACCAAACAAUCACAAAUUCAACAAUCUAUCAUACAUACUAGCAUGCUCGUUUCCAUGUAUUCUUUAUAUCAUUUGGUACAUUUAAUUGCUCAAUGCUUAUUUGCAAUGUACUAUAUAGAACUUAGUAGUCUAAUAAUAAUAAAACUUAAAUUCAUCUACUAUCAUGCCAAAUUUAUAGUGAAUAUAAUCAACCUAUAUGAAUGCUCUUAACUAAUAAAUUCUAUUUCUAUAAGCUUAAACACACAAUUGAAAAUAAAAAUUAAAAGAUAAGCAUAAAAAAUGAAAAAAAAUCUCCUAUGUUACCCCCCACAGUUUAGAUAACACAAUGUCCUCAAUGUGUAGCCCUAAAAGGAUAAAGAAAAAAGUUACUCGAUUGAUCGUGGUGGUUCCGUAAUCUGUUGGUGGGUGCUCCCUUC
Molecule: long non-coding RNA, 435 nt
Filed under: Gossypium raimondii (Peruvian cotton)
Lineage: Eukaryota; Viridiplantae; Streptophyta; Magnoliopsida; Malvales; Malvaceae
Description: long non-coding RNA (GRAI_LNC010523)
Source: RNAcentral